AAAGAGAGGUGUAGAGGAAAGAGAGGUGUAGAGGAAAGAGAGGUGUAGAGGAAAGAGAGGUGUAGAGAGGAAAGAGGUGGAGGAAAGAGAGGUGUAGAGGAAAGAGAGGUGUAGAGGAAAGAGGUGGACAGGAAAGAGAGGAGGACAGGAAAGAGAGGAGGACAGGAAAGAGAGGUGUGGAGAGGAAAGAGAGGUGGAGGUGAAAGAGAGAUGGAGAGGAAAGAGAGAUGGAGAGGAAAGAGAGGUGGAGAGGAAAGAGAGAUGGAGAGGAAAGAGAGGUGGAGAGGAAAGAGAGGUGGAGAGGAAAGAGAGAUGGAGGUGAAAGAGAGAUGGAGAGGAAAGAGAGAUGGAGAGGAAAGAGGCGGAGAGGAAAGAGGCGGAGAGGAAAGAGGCGGAGAGGAAAGAGAGGUGGAGAGGAAAGAGAGAUGGAGAGGAAAGAGAGAUGGAGGUGAAAGAGAGGUGGAGAGGAAAGAGAUGGAGGUGAAAGACAGAUGGACAGGAAAGACAGGUGGAGGUGAAAGAGAGAUGGAGGUGAAAGAGAGAUGGAGGUGAAAGAGAGAUGGAGGUGAAAGAGAGAUGGAGAGGAAAGAGAGAUGGAGAGGAAAGAGAGAUGGAGGUGAAAGAGAGGUGGAGGUGAAAGAGAGAUGGAGGUGAAAGAGAGAUGGAGGUGAAAGAGAGAUGGAGGUGAAAGAGAGAUCAGGGUGAAAGAGAGAUGGAGGUGGAGGUGAAAGAGAGGUGGAGGUGAAAGAGAGGUGGAGGUGAAAGAGAGGUGAAAGAGAGAUCGAGGUGAAAGAGAGGUGGAGGUGAAAGAGCGUGGACAGGAAGGAGAGGUCGAGGUGAAAGAGGUCGAGUUGAAAGAGGUGGAGAGGAAGGAGAGGUAGAGAUGAAAGAGGUGGACAGGAAGGAGAGGUGGAGAUGAAGGAGAGGUAGACAGGAAGGAGAGGUAGACAAAGGAGAGGUAGACAGGAAGGAGA
Molecule: long non-coding RNA, 974 nt
Organism: Oncorhynchus tshawytscha (Chinook salmon)
Lineage: Eukaryota; Metazoa; Chordata; Actinopteri; Salmoniformes; Salmonidae
Source: Ensembl